Molecule: ribosomal RNA, 2035 nt
Filed under: Ralstonia solanacearum Rs-09-161
Lineage: Bacteria; Pseudomonadati; Pseudomonadota; Betaproteobacteria; Burkholderiales; Burkholderiaceae
Description: bacterial LSU rRNA
Rfam family: Bacterial large subunit ribosomal RNA
Source: RNAcentral
CCUUCGGGGGUAGAGCACUGUCAUGGUUGGGGGGUCUAUUGCUGAUUACCCCGCCAUAGCAAACUCCGAAUACCGAAGAGUGCAAUCACGGGAGACAGACAUCGGGUGCUAACGUCCGGUGUCAAGAGGGAAACAACCCAGACCGCCAGCUAAGGUCCCUAAGAUUGGCUAAGUGGGAAACGAAGUGGGAAGGCUAAAACAGUCAGGAGGUUGGCUUAGAAGCAGCCACCCUUUAAAGAAAGCGUAAUAGCUCACUGAUCGAGUCGUCCUGCGCGGAAGAUGUAACGGGGCUAAGCCAGUCACCGAAGCUGCGGAUGCACGUAAGUGCAUGGUAGGAGAGCGUUCUGUAAGCCUGUGAAGGUGUCUUGUAAAGGAUGCUGGAGGUAUCAGAAGUGCGAAUGCUGACAUGAGUAGCGAUAAAGGGGGUGAAAGGCCCCCUCGCCGUAAGCCCAAGGUUUCCUACGCAACGUUCAUCGGCGUAGGGUGAGUCGGCCCCUAAGGCGAGGCAGAGAUGCGUAGCUGAUGGGAAGCAGGUUAAUAUUCCUGCACCGUCGUAUGAUGCGAUGGGGGGACGGAUCGCGGAAGGUUGUCCGGGUGUUGGAAGUCCCGGUCCCUACAUUGGAGAUGGCACUUAGGCAAAUCCGGGUGCGUGAUUCAAGGGUGUGGGGCGAGCGACGUUAGGUCGCGAAGCAAUUGGAAGUGGUUCCAAGAAAAGCCUCUAAGCUUCAGUCAUACGAGACCGUACCGCAAACCGACACAGGUGGGCGAGAUGAGUAUUCUAAGGCGCUUGAGAGAACUCGGGAGAAGGAACUCGGCAAAUUGGUACCGUAACUUCGGGAUAAGGUACGCCCUUGUAGUUUGACUGGCUCGCGCCAGAAGGAUGAAGGGGUUGCAAUAAAAUGGUGGCUGCGACUGUUUAAUAAAAACACAGCACUCUGCAAACACGAAAGUGGACGUAUAGGGUGUGACGCCUGCCCGGUGCCGGAAGAUUAAAUGAUGGGGUGCAAGCUCUUGAUUGAAGUCCCGGUAAACGGCGGCCGUAACUAUAACGGUCCUAAGGUAGCGAAAUUCCUUGUCGGGUAAGUUCCGACCUGCACGAAUGGCGUAACGAUGGCCACACUGUCUCCUCCCGAGACUCAGCGAAGUUGAAGUGUUUGUGAUGAUGCAAUCUCCCCGCGGCUAGACGGAAAGACCCCAUGAACCUUUACUGUAGCUUUGCAUUGGACUUUGAACCGAUCUGUGUAGGAUAGGUGGGAGGCUUUGAAACCGGGACGCUAGUUUCGGUGGAGCCGACCUUGAAAUACCACCCUGGUUUGUUUGAGGUUCUAACCUUGGCCCGUGAAUCCGGGUCGGGGACAGUGCAUGGUAGGCAGUUUGACUGGGGCGGUCUCCUCCCAAAGUGUAACGGAGGAGUUCGAAGGUACGCUUGGUACGGUCGGACAUCGUACCUAAAGUGCAAUGGCAAAAGCGUGCUUAACUGCGAGACCGACAAGUCGAGCAGGUGCGAAAGCAGGACAUAGUGAUCCGGUGGUUCUGUAUGGAAGGGCCAUCGCUCAACGGAUAAAAGGUACUCUGGGGAUAACAGGCUGAUACCGCCCAAGAGUUCAUAUCGACGGCGGUGUUUGGCACCUCGAUGUCGGCUCAUCUCAUCCUGGGGCUGUAGCCGGUCCCAAGGGUAUGGCUGUUCGCCAUUUAAAGAGGUACGUGAGCUGGGUUUAAAACGUCGUGAGACAGUUUGGUCCCUAUCUGCCGUGGGCGUUGGAAUCUUGACGGGGGCUGCUCCUAGUACGAGAGGACCGGAGUGGACGUACCGCUGGUGUACCUGUUGUCUCGCCAGAGGCAUCGCAGGGUAGCUAUGUACGGAAGAGAUAACCGCUGAAAGCAUCUAAGCGGGAAACUCGCCUGAAGAUGAGGAUUCCCUGGAGACUUGAUCUCCCUGAAGGGUCGUUCGAGACCAGGACGUUGAUAGGCUGGGUGUGGAAGCGCAGUAAUGCGUUCAGCUAACCAGUACUAAUUGCCCGUGCGGCUUGAUCCU